AACCCUUGUGAUUAGUUGCUACGCAAGAGCACUCUAAUCAGACUGCCGUUGACAAAACGGAGGAAGGUGGGGACGACGUCAAAUCAUCAUGCCCUUUAUGACCUGGGCUACACACGUACUACAAUGGUCGUUAACAGAGGGAAGCAAUACCGCGAGGUGGAGCAAAACCCUAAAAACGGUCUCAGUUCAGAUUGUUUGCCGCAACUCGCCUACAUGAAGUUGGAAUUGCUAGUAAUCGCGGAUCAGCAUGCCGCGGUGAAUACGUUCCCGGGCCUUGUACACACCGCCCGUCACACCAUGGGAGCCGGAAAUGCCCGAAGCCAGUGACCUAACCGAAAGGGAGGAGCUGUCGAAGGUGGAGCCGUAACUGGGGUGAAUUCGUACCAGUUCGCC
Molecule: ribosomal RNA, 393 nt
Filed under: unidentified microorganism
Description: bacterial SSU rRNA
Rfam family: Bacterial small subunit ribosomal RNA
Source: RNAcentral